GAUAAACGCUGGCGGCGUGCAUAACACAUUCAAGUCGAACGAACUGAUACGGAAGCUUGCUUUUGUUGAAAGUUAGUGGCGGACGGGUGAGUAACGCGUGAGCAACUUGCCUAUCUGUGGGGAAUAACACAUGGAAACGUGUGCUAAUACCGCAUAACACAACCUGAUCGCAUGUUUAGGUUGUCAAAGAUUUAUCGCAGAUAGAUGGGCUCGCGUCUGAUUAGCUGGUUGGUGAGGUAACGGCUCACCAAGGCGACGAUCAGUAGCCGGACUGAGAGGGUGAUCGGCCACAUUGGGACUGAGAUACGGCCCAGACUCCUACGGGAGGCAGCAGUGGGGAAUAUUGGGCAAUGGGGGAAACCCUGACCCAGCAACGCCGCGUGAAGGAAGAAGGCCUUCGGGUUGUAACGUUCUUUACCUAGGGUACGAAGAACGUAGACGGUACCUGGAGAAAAGACAACGGCUAACUACGUGCCAGCAGCCGCGGU
This 488-nucleotide ribosomal RNA is filed under the name uncultured bacterium. RNAcentral describes it as "bacterial SSU rRNA". It matches the Rfam family "Bacterial small subunit ribosomal RNA", at positions 28 to 521 of the family's 1533-position model. The record is from RNAcentral.